This is a long non-coding RNA of Panthera uncia (snow leopard), 1033 nucleotides long. RefSeq lists it as uncharacterized. The transcript has 2 exons. The record is from RefSeq and is a predicted model, not a curated record. NCBI's taxonomy places the organism in Eukaryota, Metazoa, Chordata, Mammalia, Carnivora, Felidae.
AGGAUACAUACUACAGAGUACAGGAGUUUAAUACUGCCAAGGUAAUGUAAAACUAUAUUUAAAAGGCUCUGGAAUGCCAAGUUAAGAAGUACAGACUUUAUCCUCUUGCCUUGUGAUAUUAAACUGGGGCAAAAGUUACAAAACUGGGAGGACAGGAGAAAGGGAAAUUGGGAAGACAGCAUAUAAUUACAGUUUGAAAAUAAGCACAGCUUUGAUCUGAUGCUUCAAUUUGGCAUAGGCAUCCAAAAUUCUAAUAAUUUUAAUGGUGAUCAAAGGGAGCUUUGAGUUGUUUUUGAACUUACGUGUUUUGAUAACAAAAAUAAAAACAUGUUUCCAAUAUGGUCCUACAUAAAUGUAUUAGUAAACAGAACUAAGUAGCAACACUGGGACUAAAAUUCACAUAUCCUGAUUUUAUAAUCAGCAUGCUUUCUAUUAUUCCACAGAUGCCAACACUUGAAAAUGGUAUUUUAGGAAAGUGAGUACAAUAUGCAGAAUGGAUUGGAUGAGGCAAGAAACUAGAGGCAAGAAGAGAACAGCUAUUGCUGUAAUCACUCUUAAAUCACCCACAAGUUACAAGGAUAUUGUUAUUUUUGCAGAAACGCCAGUGACAUGUGGAUAAUGAAAUACAACCACAGUUGUAUAAGUAUAUCUUUAUGCAUAUAAAGGGGAAAAGCAGUUCUCAAGCUCAUCUAAGAGACAAGCUCUUCAGACCAUUUGAAGAAUCCACUUGAAGAAUAAAUCUCUUACAAUUUUUUUUAAUGUUUAUUUAUUUUUAAGGGGUGGGGGGCAGAAAGAAGAGGACAGAGGAUCCAAAGCAGUAUCUAUGCCUAUAGCAGUGAGCCCAAUGUGGUGCUUGGAUUCACAAACCGUGAUGAUGACCUGAGCCAUAAGUCAAACACUCAGUGGACUGAGCUACCCAGGCACCCCUCUCCAUCUCAGAAUUUUAAGCUCACUACAAUUUCUGCUCAUGCAAUGGCCACUAAUGCCUAUUAAGUGCCAAGUACUAUAUUAGGCAAGAAGGAUACACAGAUAA